AAUUAUUCCAACUGAAGUCAAACAACGGGAAUAAAUUAGAGAAGAGUGCUCUGUCUCCACAGGAGUGACAAGGCACUGCUGAGGGUUGAUGUCACCAGUAUUUGCACUUCCUCUGAGAGGCACAAAUGUCACAGAAACAGGUCUGGCCCUGGAGCAGAGUGGCAUCGUUCAGCUUAUCCUUAGGACAAGGAGAGCUGGAAAUCUGAACUGAUCUUUUGAUCUCAAAUCUUUUGUUGGAGCAGCUGUAGACUGGAGCUUGUCUCUGCAUCUCCUGAGUGCUGCACGUGGGGCUGGGUGUGCUGGAGAGUGAGGAACUGCCCUGCAGCAGAAAACAGCUCCAGCCCAUGCAUGAAACUUGAUCCAGGUGUCCUGCUGA
This is a non-coding RNA of Sturnus vulgaris (Common starling), 376 nucleotides long. The record is from RefSeq and is a predicted model, not a curated record. Lineage: Eukaryota; Metazoa; Chordata; Aves; Passeriformes; Sturnidae.